RNAcentral lists this ribosomal RNA (465 nucleotides) under Vreelandella stevensii. Its description in RNAcentral is "partial 16S ribosomal RNA". It matches the Rfam family "Bacterial small subunit ribosomal RNA", at positions 338 to 795 of the family's 1533-position model. Lineage: Bacteria; Pseudomonadati; Pseudomonadota; Gammaproteobacteria; Oceanospirillales; Halomonadaceae. The record is from RNAcentral.
CCUACGGGUGGCAGCAGUGGGGAAUAUUGGACAAUGGGCGAAAGCCUGAUCCAGCCAUGCCGCGUGUGUGAAGAAGGCCUUCGGGUUGUAAAGCACUUUCAGUGGGGAAGAAAGCCUUGGGGCUAAUACCCUCGAGGAAGGACAUCACCCACAGAAGAAGCACCGGCUAACUCCGUGCCAGCAGCCGCGGUAAUACGGAGGGUGCGAGCGUUAAUGGGAAUUACUGGGCGUAAAACGCGCGUAGGCGGUCUGAUAAGCCGGUUGUGAAAGCCCCGGGCUCAACCUGGGAACGGCAUCCGGAACUGUCAGGCUAGAGUGCAGGAGAGGAAGGUAGAAUUCCCGGUGUAGCGGUGAAAUGCGUAGAGAUCGGGAGGAAUACCAGUGGCGAAGGCGGCCUUCUGGACUGACACUGACGCUGAGGUGCGAAAGCGUGGGUAGCAAACAGGAUUAGAUACCCCAGUAGUC